GACGAACGCUGGCGGCGUGCCUAAUACAUGCAAGUUGAGCGCUGAAGGUUGGUACUUGUACCAACUGGAUGAGCAGCGAACGGGUGAGUAACGCGUGGGGAAUCUGCCUUUGAGCGGGGGACAACAUUUGGAAACGAAUGCUAAUGCCGCAUAAAAACUUUAAACACAAGUUUUAAGUUUGAAAGAUGCAAUUGCAUCACUCAAGAAGGUCCCGCGUUGUAUUAGCUAGUUGGUGAGGUAAAGGCUCACCAAGGCGAUGAUACAUAGCCGACCUGAGAGGGUGAUCGGCCACAUUGGGACUGAGACACGGCCCAAACUCCUACGGGAGGCAGCAGUAGGGAAUCUUCGGCAAUGGACGAAAGUCUGACCGAGCAACGCCGCGUGAGUGAAGAAGGUUUUCGGAUCGUAAAACUCUGUUGGUAGAGAAGAACGUUGGUGAGAGUGGAAAGCUCAUCAAGUGACGGUAACUACCCAGAAAGGGACGGCUAACUACGUG
Molecule: ribosomal RNA, 496 nt
Filed under: uncultured bacterium
Lineage: Bacteria
Description: partial 16S ribosomal RNA
Rfam family: Bacterial small subunit ribosomal RNA
Source: RNAcentral